RNAcentral lists this ribosomal RNA (429 nucleotides) under Gemmatimonadota bacterium. RNAcentral describes it as "Gemmatimonadetes bacterium partial 16S ribosomal RNA". It matches the Rfam family "Bacterial small subunit ribosomal RNA", at positions 355 to 776 of the family's 1533-position model. Lineage: Bacteria; Pseudomonadati; Gemmatimonadota. The record is from RNAcentral.
UAGGGAAUCUUCGGCAAUGGACGAAAGUCUGACCGAGCAACGCCGCGUGAGUGAAGAAGGUUUUCGGAUCGUAAAACUCUGUUGUUAGAGAAGAACAAGGACGUUAGUAACUGAACGUCCCCUGACGGUAUCUAACCAGAAAGCCACGGCUAACUACGUGCCAGCAGCCGCGGUAAUACGUAGGUGGCAAGCGUUGUCCGGAUUUAUUGGGCGUAAAGCGAGCGCAGGCGGUUUCUUAAGUCUGAUGUGAAAGCCCCCGGCUCAACCGGGGAGGGUAAUUGGAAACUGGGAGACUUGGGUGGAGAAGAGGGGAGUGGAAUUCCAUGUGUAGCGGUGAAAUGCGUAGAUAUAUGGAGGAACACCAGUGGCGAAGGCGGCUAUCUGGUCUGUAACUGACGCUGAGGCUCGAAAGCGUGGGGAGCAAACAGG